UCCUACGGGAGGCAGCAGUGGGGAAUAUUGGACAAUGGGCGCAAGCCUGAUCCAGCCAUGCCGCGUGAGUGAUGAAGGCCCUAGGGUUGUAAAGCUCUUUCGCCAGGGACGAUAAUGACGGUACCUGGAUAAGAAGCCCCGGCUAACUUUGUGCCAGCAGCCGCGGUAAUACGAAGGGGGCUAGCGUUGUUCGGAAUCACUGGGCGUAAAGCGCACGUAGGCGGAUCUUUAAGUCAGGGGUGAAAUCCCGAGGCUCAACCUCGGAACUGCCCUUGAUACUGGAGAUCUUGAGUUCGGGAGAGGUGAGUGGAACUGCGAGUGUAGAGGUGAAAUUCGUAGAUAUUCGCAAGAACACCAGUGGCGAAGGCGGCUCACUGGCCCGAUACUGACGCUGAGGUGCGGAAGCGUGGGGAGCAAACAGGAUUAGAUACCCUGGUAGUCCACGCCGUAAACGAUGGAUGCUAGCCGUUGGACAGCUUGCUGUUCAGUGGCGCAGCUAACGCUUUAAGCAUCCCGCCUGGGGAGUACGGUCGCAAGAUUAAAACUCAAAGGAAUUGACGGA
Molecule: ribosomal RNA, 562 nt
Filed under: uncultured bacterium
Lineage: Bacteria
Description: bacterial SSU rRNA
Rfam family: Bacterial small subunit ribosomal RNA
Source: RNAcentral